Molecule: ribosomal RNA, 393 nt
Filed under: uncultured bacterium
Lineage: Bacteria
Description: partial 16S ribosomal RNA
Rfam family: Bacterial small subunit ribosomal RNA
Source: RNAcentral
AUACGUAGGUGACAAGCGUUAUCCGGAUUUACUGGGCGUAAAGAGCGUGUAGGCGGUCUUGCAAGUCAGAAGUGAAAUUCCUGAGCUCAACUCGGGCGCUGCUUCUGAAACUGCAGGACUUGAGUGCUGGAGGGGAUAGCGGAAUUCCUAGUGGAGCGGUAAAAUGCGCAGAUAUUAGGAAGAACACCGGUGGCGAAGGCGGCUAUCUGGACAGAAACUGACGCUGAGGCGCGAAAGCGUGGGGAGCAAACAGGAUUAGAUACCCUGGUAGUCCACGCCGUAAACGAUGGAUGCUAGAUGUCGGGGGGUUGCCCUCGGUGUCGUAGUUAACGCGUUAAGCAUCCCGCCUGGGGAGUACGGUCGCAAGGCUGAAACUCAAAUGAAUUGGCGGGG